This 343-nucleotide unclassified non-coding RNA is filed under the name soil metagenome. RNAcentral's name for it is "partial contains 5.8S ribosomal RNA, internal transcribed spacer 2, and large subunit ribosomal RNA". The stretch from base 1 to 120 matches the Rfam family "5.8S ribosomal RNA", at positions 35 to 154 of the family's 154-position model. The record is from RNAcentral.
GAUGAAGAACGUAGCGAAAUGCGAUAAGUAAUGUGAAUUGCAGAAUUCAGUGAAUCAUCGAAUCUUUGAACGCACAUUGCGCCCGCUAGUAUUCUGGCGGGCAUGCCUGUCCGAGCGUCAUUUCAACCCUCAAGCCCCCGGGCUUGGUGUUGGGGAUCGGCGAGCCUCCGCGCCCGCCGUCCCCUAAAUCUAGUGGAGGUCUCGCUGUAGCUUCCUCUGCGUAGUAGCACACCUCGCACUGGGAAACAGCGCGGCCACGCCGUUAAACCCCCAACUUCUGAACGUUUGACCUCGGAUCAGGUAGGAAUACCCGCUGAACUUAAGCAUAUCAAUAAGCGGAGGA